Molecule: microRNA, 21 nt
Filed under: Haplochromis burtoni (Burton's mouthbrooder)
Lineage: Eukaryota; Metazoa; Chordata; Actinopteri; Cichliformes; Cichlidae
Also listed under: 1 other name
Description: abu-miR-7133-5p
Source: miRBase by way of RNAcentral
GAUGUUGAGUAUCAAACUGUA